This is a long non-coding RNA of Nematostella vectensis (starlet sea anemone), 393 nucleotides long. RefSeq lists it as uncharacterized. The transcript has 2 exons. The record is from RefSeq and is a predicted model, not a curated record. NCBI's taxonomy places the organism in Eukaryota, Metazoa, Cnidaria, Anthozoa, Actiniaria, Edwardsiidae.
GGGCACAAUCAGCAUUUCCCUGACACGCCUUUCGCAAGGCCAUGAUCCUGGGAACGGACAACAGAGCUUAGUACUGGAGCUCAAUACAAGAUACAGUGGUCAAUUCGAGACCCUCAAGGAGGAUAACAGACAGUUUGGCUUUGUUUAAGGAGAUUACCCUACAAUGGAUGGCAUAGAAAAAGGAAUAUCAGAGAUAUGAGGUUCAGCCAUGACGUCACUACGUACCACUCCCUCUCCUCAACGCUGUUCGUGGCCUGUAUGUACAUCGGUCUGUCGGGCUGCAACACCUGAAACAUCUGAAAACACCCCACGCAUCGUCACGCAACACCUCAAAAACAUCUAAAAACAGUUCCUCCACUACUCUUUGAAUGAAUAUUAAAUGAGUCCUCACAU